Molecule: ribosomal RNA, 460 nt
Filed under: uncultured bacterium
Lineage: Bacteria
Description: partial 16S ribosomal RNA
Rfam family: Bacterial small subunit ribosomal RNA
Source: RNAcentral
CCUACGGGAGGCAGCAGUGAGGAAUAUUGGUCAAUGGGCGGAAGCCUGAACCAGCCAAGUCGCGUGAGGGAUUAAGGCCCUGCGGGUCGUAAACCUCUUUUGCCGGGGAGCAGUGGUCCGGACGUGUCCGGGCCGGGAGAGUACCCGGAGAAAAAGCAUCGGCUAACUCCGUGCCAGCAGCCGCGGUAGUACGGAGGAUGCGAGCGUUAUCCGGAUUUAUUGGGUUUAAAGGGUGCGUAGGCGGGCAUUUAAGCCGGCGGUCAAAUGUCGGGGCUCAACCCCGGCCUGCCGUCGGAACUGGGUGCCUUGAGUGGGAGAGAGGUAUGCGGAAUGCGUGGUGUAGCGGUGAAAUGCAUAGAUAUCACGCAGAACCCCGAUUGCGAAGGCAGCAUACCGGCGCCCUACUGACGCUGAGGCACGAAAGUGCGGGUAUCGAACAGGAUUAGAUACCCCGGUAGUC